GCAAACUUGGUCAUUUAGAGGAAGUAAAAGUCGUAACAAGGUUUCCGUAGGUGAACCUGCGGAAGGAUCAUUAUUGAAUAACUUGAUAGGUUGUCGCUGGCCUCUUGAGGCAUGUGCACGCCUGUCUUGACUCUAUUCAUCCACCUGUGCACCUUUUGUAGUUCUCUGUUCUCUGAAGGUCAAGAAAAAGCAAGCUAUUUGUUCAGUUGAAACAUACUGGAUUUGAAGACUGCCUCAUUGGCUCUCUUCUACUUAGCUAUGCAAAAUUGUGCCUUCUGGAGCAAUAGGAGAACUAUGUUCUUUAUACAUAAACCAUGUAGUAUGUUGCCAGAAUGUAUCAAUGGGCCUCUGUGCCUAUAAAACUUUAUACAACUUUCAGCAACGGAUCUCUUGGCUCUCGCAUCGAUGAAGAACGCAGC
Molecule: unclassified non-coding RNA, 419 nt
Filed under: uncultured fungus
Lineage: Eukaryota; Fungi
Description: partial contains small subunit ribosomal RNA, internal transcribed spacer 1, and 5.8S ribosomal RNA
Rfam family: Eukaryotic small subunit ribosomal RNA (bases 1-73)
Source: RNAcentral